GGCUUUUGGACAUNGUCCGGUUUGAUCGGCAGAGAUGCCUUUCUUCAGUUCGGCUGGCCGGAACACAGGUGCUGCAUGGCUGUCGUCAGCUCGUGUCGUGAGAUGUUGGGUUAAGUCCCGCAACGAGCGCAACCCUCGCCCCUAGUUGCCAUCAUUCAGUUGGGAACUCUAGGGGGACUGCCGGUGAUAAGCCGCGAGGAAGGUGGGGAUGACGUCAAGUCCUCAUGGCCCUUACAGGCUGGGCUACACACGUGCUACAAUGGCGGUGACAAUGGGCAGCGAAAGGGCGACCUCGAGCUAAUCCCAAAAAGCCGUCUCAGUUCAGAUUGCACUCUGCAACUCGAGUGCAUGAAGGUGGAAUCGCUAGUAAUCGUGGAUCAGCAUGCCACGGUGAAUACGUUCCCGGGUCUUGUACACACGAAA
This 423-nucleotide ribosomal RNA is filed under the name bacterium Cro46(2010). RNAcentral describes it as "bacterial SSU rRNA". It matches the Rfam family "Bacterial small subunit ribosomal RNA", at positions 976 to 1387 of the family's 1533-position model. The record is from RNAcentral.